Molecule: ribosomal RNA, 899 nt
Filed under: Vibrio sp. 01 AU-SS07
Lineage: Bacteria; Pseudomonadati; Pseudomonadota; Gammaproteobacteria; Vibrionales; Vibrionaceae
Description: bacterial SSU rRNA
Rfam family: Bacterial small subunit ribosomal RNA
Source: RNAcentral
GGCGACGAUCCCUAGCUGUCUGAGAGGAUGAUCAGCCACACUGGACUGAGACACGUCCAGACUCUACGGGAGCAGCAGUGGGAAUAUGCACAUGGGCGCAAGCUGAUGCAGCCAUGCCGCGUGUGUGAAGAAGCUUCGGGUUGUAAAGCACUUUCAGUCGUGAGGAAGCUAGUGUAGUUAAUAGCUGCAUCAUUUGACGUUAGCGACAGAAGAAGCACCGGCUAACUCCGUGCCAGCAGCCGCGGUAAUACGGAGGGUGCGAGCGUUAAUCGGAAUUACUGGGCGUAAAGCGCAUGCAGGUGGUUAGUUAAGUCAGAUGUGAAAGCCCGGGGCUCAACCUCGGAACUGCAUUUGAAACUGGCUGACUAGAGUACUGUAGAGGGGGGUAGAAUUUCAGGUGUAGCGGUGAAAUGCGUAGAGAUCUGAAGGAAUACCGGUGGCGAAGGCGGCCCCCUGGACAGAUACUGACACUCAGAUGCGAAAGCGUGGGGAGCAAACAGGAUUAGAUACCCUGGUAGUCCACGCCGUAAACGAUGUCUACUUGGAGGUUGUGGCCUUGAGCCGUGGCUUUCGGAGCUAACGCGUUAAGUAGACCGCCUGGGGAGUACGGUCGCAAGAUUAAAACUCAAAUGAAUUGACGGGGGCCCGCACAAGCGGUGGAGCAUGUGGUUUAAUUCGAUGCAACGCGAAGAACCUUACCUACUCUUGACAUCCUGAGAAGUUAGCGGAGACGGUUUGGUGCCUUCGGGAACUGUGAGACAGGUGCUGCAUGGCUGUCGUCAGCUCGUGUUGUGAAAUGUUGGGUUAAGUCCCGCAACGAGCGCAACCCUUAUCCUUGUUUGCCAGCACUUCGGGUGGGAACUCCAGGGAGACUGCCGGUGAUAAACCGGAGGAAGGUG